This 292-nucleotide ribosomal RNA is filed under the name uncultured bacterium. RNAcentral's name for it is "partial 16S ribosomal RNA". It matches the Rfam family "Bacterial small subunit ribosomal RNA", at positions 44 to 334 of the family's 1533-position model. The record is from RNAcentral.
GUGCCUAACACAUGCAAGUCGAACGAGAAAGUGGAGCAAUCCAUGAGUAAAGUGGCGACCGGGUGAGUAACACGUGACCAACCUGCCCUUGAGUGGGGGAUAACCUCGGGAAACCGGGGCUAAUACCGCAUAACAUCUUCGGAUCGGAAGAACUGAAGAUCAAAGGAGCAAUUCGCUUAAGGAGGGGGUCGCGGCUGAUUAGCUAGUUGGCGGGGUAACGGCCCACCAAGGCGAUGAUCGGUAGCCGGCCUGAGAGGGCGCACGGCCACACUGGAACUGAAACACGGUCCAG